AGAACGAACGCUGGCGGCAGGCUUAACACAUGCAAGUCGAACGCUCGUAGCAAUACGGGAGUGGCAGACGGGUGAGUAACGCGUGGGAACAUACCCUCCGGUUCGGAAUAGCUCAGGGAAACUUGGGCUAAUACCGGAUACGCCCUUACGGGGAAAGAUUUAUUGCCGAAGGAACGGCCCGCGUCCGAUUAGCUUGUUGGUGAGGUAACGGCUCACCAAGGCGACGAUCGGUAGCUGGUCUGAGAGGAUGACCAGCCUCACUGGGACUGAGACACGGCCCAGACUCCUACGGGAGGCAGCAGUGGGGAAUAUUGGACAAUGGGCGCAAGCCUGAUCCAGCCAUGCCGCGUGGGUGAUGAAGGCCCUAGGGUUGUAAAGCCCUUUCGGCGGGGAAGAUAAUGACGGUACCCGCAGAAGAAGCCCCGGCUAACUUCGUGCCAGCAGCCGC
This 448-nucleotide ribosomal RNA is filed under the name uncultured bacterium. RNAcentral's name for it is "SSU rRNA". It matches the Rfam family "Bacterial small subunit ribosomal RNA", at positions 26 to 518 of the family's 1533-position model. The record is from RNAcentral.